RNAcentral lists this transfer RNA (67 nucleotides) under uncultured Prevotellamassilia sp. It matches the Rfam family "tRNA". From Rfam's summary of the family: Transfer RNA (tRNA) molecules are approximately 80 nucleotides in length. Their secondary structure includes four short double-helical elements and three loops (D, anti-codon, and T loops). Further hydrogen bonds mediate the characteristic L-shaped molecular structure. tRNAs have two regions of fundamental functional importance: the anti-codon, which is responsible for specific mRNA codon recognition, and the 3' end, to which the tRNAs corresponding amino acid is attached (by aminoacyl-tRNA synthetases). tRNAs cope with the degeneracy of the genetic code in two manners: having more than one tRNA (with a specific anti-codon) for a particular amino acid; and 'wobble' base-pairing, i.e. permitting non-standard base-pairing at the 3rd anti-codon position. The record is from RNAcentral. Lineage: Bacteria; Pseudomonadati; Bacteroidota; Bacteroidia; Bacteroidales; Prevotellaceae.
GGUAGUAGCUCAGUUGGUAGAGCAUGAGCUUCCCAAGCUCAGGGUCGCGGGUUCGAACCCCGUUUAC